This 83-nucleotide transfer RNA is filed under the name Bacteroidota bacterium. Its description in RNAcentral is "Bacteroidetes bacterium tRNA-Tyr". It matches the Rfam family "tRNA". From Rfam's summary of the family: Transfer RNA (tRNA) molecules are approximately 80 nucleotides in length. Their secondary structure includes four short double-helical elements and three loops (D, anti-codon, and T loops). The record is from RNAcentral. Lineage: Bacteria; Pseudomonadati; Bacteroidota.
GCGUCGGCUGGGCAUAGGUGAGCCCCCUUGACUGUAAAUCAAGCACUUCGGUUGUGUAGGUUCAAUUCCUACCCGGCGCACCA